UUUUUUUGCAAAUAUAGGCAUAUCAUAUAAACAUCACCUAUAAAAGGUCAUCAAGUCAUAAAAUAUAAAGGUGCGUGUGUUCCAAGACACUACAUCAUCAAAACAUCAUAAACAAAUCUCUAAAUAAAUCUUAAGGAUCUCACUAAAGAAAUAAAUACAAUACAGAUCCCUAGUCAUAUCUAAACUCUAAGUUGGUUCCCACUAAGACAAAGCAUAAAUAAAUGACCGAGGGUCGAAUCUCGCCUCUAAGCCCACCACCAAGUUCGCAUCAAUCAUGAGUGACAUGCUCCGUAGAAGCUACAUCAUAAUCUGCUCUUGUGUCAAAUGACACGAUCAUCACAGUUCAACAGAAAAUGAAAAGGUAAGCUCAUAUUAAAAGAAACAUCAUAUAAUUGAAAACAACAUAAGAUCACCAUUUCAAAAGAUAUAUAGAAAAUUCUUCACAUUUUUUAUGACAAUAUAAUUAUACAACACAUCAAGUAGCACAUCAUUCUUAAGUCACAAUUAUUGGUGCACAUAUCUAAUUAUUAUGUUAUGUCAUGCUGACUCUUUACUCCAAGGAGAUUUUCACCUUUUGAGAAGUUAACUCAAGUUCAUCCCUUAACAUAGUCACACCUUAACCAUUUGGGAAAAUUUGAAUAUAAUUAACCUUACGAAGGAAGUGUGAUUUUAUCAAAAAAGGAUGAGUGUAGGCAGUAACUUACCUUGAUAAGGCUUGCAAAGACCAUAACCUAUCUAGAGAUUUGCCCAUCCCAUUCAUCUAUAGGCUCAUUCCCAAUAAGCACCACUGACAACCUUCAGCACUAGGUUAAAGGCUCACCAAGCACCCUCAGCUUGCGUGCCUACUCACAUGCAAUGUCAUUCAUCAAUGCAUGUAUGUUUUGAUUAAACAUUAUAUCACAUCAUCAUUAUAUUCAUUCAUCAUCAUCAAUAUAAUUCCUUACAUCAACAAAUCAAUUAAUUUUAUAUCAAUUCAAUCCAUCAUGCACAUCUCAUUCAACAUAUCCUCAAUUCAUAAUCCAUAUCUUGUCAAAUUCCACAUCAAGUCAUCAUUCAUAUCAUUCUCACUAUCCAUAAACUCUCACAUAGUUCAUCUACACCUCAUGAGACUUUUCACACCUCAUGAUCAAUCUCCAAAUCUCAAUAUAUGAAUGUGAAUUGCAUGAAAAAUAACAAGAAACCACCUCAAUCCAUUUUAUUUUAAAAUUCAACAACACGUCAAAGCAUUUAAGAUUGAAGUUCAAUUGAAAUGCAUGAAAGAAAAUUUGACAAACACUCAUGCUUAAGCGUGACAAAUUUUGUGCUUAACUGUGGCCCAUUUUUUUCCUUCUGGCAACUCGCGCUUAAGCACAACCAAGGGUGUGCUAAAGCACCAAUUCCAGUGGCCAACUCCCCAUCACCCUUAAGCACCACUCUAGGUGUGCUUAAGCGCGAUUGACCUACAUGUUUGCAUUUUUACUGUCAAAUCUCCUCGAAUGGACCCCAACUUGAAUUUCAACUCAAACCUUUCAAUGUUCCACAUAAACAACAAAGUAAGACACAUUUUUAACAACUCAAAACAAUAAUUAAACACAAAAUAUAGGAUUUUAAAGAUGGGUAAAGCUUCCCUUACCUAUUCAAACUCAAAAUGUGAUCUUGUGGAGAAUGGAAGAAAGAAGUGAACUUUAAGUCCAAAGGAAGAGCUUUUCUUCACUUUCACAGCAGCUACACACUAUGGGUGUAUCAACAAACCCGAAAGCCAGCCAAAAAAAAUUAGAAACCCUAAAACCUAAGCUUUUUCCAUGAAAGUUCAUGGGUGCUCUAAGAAAAUGAAAAUGAACUCAGAGAGGAAGAGGGGGAGAUUACCUCACAUAAAGAUAGUCAACAAAACAAUAAAGGAAAGAGAAAGGAGCUCCCUUUUUGCACAACACCAAAGCUCAAGGUUUCUCUAAUGGUGGGUUUCUUGGAGAAGGGGAAGUGAGUGGAAAGGAAAGGUUUCUUUUGAGAGAAGUUUUUGAAAUGUGGGGGAUUUUGAGAGGUUUUGACCCUCUUGAUGAUUCUCUC
Molecule: long non-coding RNA, 2043 nt
Filed under: Glycine max (soybean)
Lineage: Eukaryota; Viridiplantae; Streptophyta; Magnoliopsida; Fabales; Fabaceae
Description: long non-coding RNA (GMAX_LNC002887)
Source: RNAcentral